Molecule: non-coding RNA, 124 nt
Organism: Mycena olivaceomarginata
Lineage: Eukaryota; Fungi; Basidiomycota; Agaricomycetes; Agaricales; Mycenaceae
Source: the annotation of a GenBank genome assembly
UCCAGUAUGGUGUACCGGUAACAUCGGUGCCUUUCAGAAAAGAGGAAAUGUCGACCGCACUAGCCCGGGGUUCGAGAGGAAACGUCGACCGCACUAGCCCGGGGUUCGACUCCCCGGACUGGAA